RNAcentral lists this ribosomal RNA (955 nucleotides) under Patescibacteria group bacterium. RNAcentral describes it as "partial 23S ribosomal RNA". It matches the Rfam family "Bacterial large subunit ribosomal RNA", at positions 1959 to 2925 of the family's 2925-position model. The record is from RNAcentral.
GCGAAAUUCCUUGUCUGGUAAGUUCAGACGCGCACGAAUGGUAUAACGACUGGGGAACUGUCUCGAGGAUUUGCUCGGUGAAAAUACAAGGGCGGUGAAGAUGCCGCCUUCCUGCAGCUAGACGAAAAGACCCCAGAAGCUUUACUGUAAUUUGGUAUUGGGAUUACGGGUGCACCGCGUAGCGUAAGAGGGAGACUUUGAAGCAUGGUCCUCGGGUCAUGUGGAGUCGUCAAUGCAACACCUCUCCUUGUUUCUGUAAUUUCUAACCGCGCAUGAGAAACAUGCGCGAGACAGUACCUGAUGGACAGUUUCGGUGGGGCGCUGUCCUCCUAAAAAGUAACGGAGGAGCCUAUUAUGGUCAGCUAGGCGCGAAUGGAAACCGUGCCGAUAGUGCAUUGGCAAAAGCUGGCUUGACUGCGAGUCGUACGUGACGAGCAGGCGCGAAAGCGGAGCAAAGUGAACCGACCCUACGCAUUAGAUGCGGGGGAAGAUUAACGGAUAAAAGUUACUCUGGGGAUAACAGGCUGGUACUGCCUAAGAGUCCAAAUCGACGGCAGUGUUCGGCACCUCGAUGUCGGCUCAUCUCAUCCCGGGGCUGGAGAAGCUCCCAAGGGUAUGGCUGUUCGCCAUUUAAAGAGGUACGUGAGCUGGGUUCAAACCGUCGUGAGACAGGUUGGUCUUAAUCUGCUGUAGGCGUUGAUUCUUGAGGAGAUUCGUUUCUAGUACGAGAGGACCGAAAUGAACUGACCUCUGGUCUGGGGGCUGUACCGCCAGGUGCAUUGCCCCGUAGCUAUGUCGGGAAUGGAUAACCGCUGAAAGCAUCUAAGCGGGAAGCCAACUCCAAGAUAAGGAAUCGUUAUAGACUCGUGGGAGAUGACCACGUUGAUAGGCACCAGGUGGAAGCACUGUAAAGUGUUGAGCCGAGGUGUACUAAUCCGUCGACAGAACUCUCGAA